RNAcentral lists this ribosomal RNA (495 nucleotides) under uncultured bacterium. RNAcentral's name for it is "partial 16S ribosomal RNA". It matches the Rfam family "Bacterial small subunit ribosomal RNA", at positions 28 to 507 of the family's 1533-position model. The record is from RNAcentral.
GAUGAACGCUGGCGGCGUGCCUAACACAUGCAAGUAGAACGCAGAAGGCGGACCUUGCUGUUCUGGUUGAGUUGCGAACGGGUGAGUAACGCGUAGGUAACCUGCCCUGUAGUGGGGGAUAACUUCUGGAAACGAUAGCUAAUACCGCAUGACAACUGCUGUUGCAUGAUAACUGUUUGAAAGUGGCAACUGCUCCACUACCAGAUGCACCUGCGCUGUAUUAGCUUGUUGUUGAGGUAACGGCUCACCAAGGCGACGAGACAUAGCAGACCGGGGAGGGGGGUCGGCCACACUGGGACUGAGACACGGCCCAGACUCCUACGGGAGGCAGCAGUAGGGCAUCUGCGGCAAUGGACGGAAGUCUGACCGAGCAACGCCGCGUGAGGGAAGAAGGUUUUCGGGUCGGAAAGCUCUGUUGUAGGAGAAGAACGAGUGUGAGAGUGGAAAGUUCACACUGUGACGGUAUCUUACCAGAAAGAGACGGCUAACUACGUG